GACGAACGCUGGCGGCGUGCUUAACACAUGCCAGUCGAACGGAAAGGCCCUGCUUUUGUGGGGUGCUCGAGUGGCGAACGGGUGAGUAACACGUGAGUAACCUGCCCUUGACUUUGGGAUAACUUCAGGAAACUGGGGCUAAUACCGGAUAGGAGCUCCUGCUGCAUGGUGGGGGUUGGAAAGUUUCGGCGGUUGGGGAUGGACUCGCGGCUUAUCAGCUUGUUGGUGGGGUAGUGGCUUACCAAGGCUUUGACGGGUAGCCGGCCUGAGAGGGUGACCGGCCACAUUGGGACUGAGAGACGGCCCAGACUCCUACGGGAGGCAGCAGGGGGGAAUAUUGCACAAUGGGCGGAAGCCUGAUGCAGCAACGCCGCGUGCGGGAUGACGGCCUUCGGGUUGUAAACCGCUUUCGCCUGUGACGAAGCGUGAGUGACGGUAAUGGGUAAAGAAGCACCGGCUAACUACGUG
This 468-nucleotide ribosomal RNA is filed under the name uncultured bacterium. RNAcentral's name for it is "partial 16S ribosomal RNA". It matches the Rfam family "Bacterial small subunit ribosomal RNA", at positions 28 to 507 of the family's 1533-position model. The record is from RNAcentral.